CCUACGGGAGGCAGCAGUAAGGAAUCUUCCACAAUGGACGAAAGUCUGAUGGAGCAACGCCGCGUGCAGGAUGGAGGCUUUCGGGUCGUAAACUGCUUUUAUAUGGGAAGAUUAUGACGGUACCAUAUGAAUAAGGACCGGCUAACUACGUGCCAGCAGCCGCGGUAAUACGUAGGGUCCAAGCGAUAUCCGGAAUUACUGGGCGUAAAGCGUGUGUAGGUGGAUUAAUAAGUGUGAUGCGAAAUCCGGCGGCUCAACCGUUUGGACUGUGUCGCAUACUGUUAGUCUAGAGGACGGCAGAGGUAAGUGGAAUUACGGGUGUAGCAGUGAAAUGCGUAGAUAUCCGUAGGAACACCAAUGGCGAAGGCAGCUUACUGGGCCACACCUGACACUGAGACACGAAAGCGUGGGGAGCGAACAGGAUUAGAUACCCUGGUAGUCCACGCCGUAAACGAUGCAUACUAUUAGUAUGGGGUAUCGACCCCCUGUGCUGAGAAGCUAACGCGAUAAGUAUGCCGCCUGGGGAGUACGAGCGCAAGCUUAAAACUUAAAUGAAUUGACGG
Molecule: ribosomal RNA, 563 nt
Filed under: uncultured bacterium
Lineage: Bacteria
Description: bacterial SSU rRNA
Rfam family: Bacterial small subunit ribosomal RNA
Source: RNAcentral